Molecule: non-coding RNA, 312 nt
Organism: Cinara cedri
Lineage: Eukaryota; Metazoa; Arthropoda; Insecta; Hemiptera; Aphididae
Source: the annotation of a GenBank genome assembly
UCGGCCGACGGUCAGACUGAGAAAAGAUCGAGAACAUCCGAAAACCAAAUCUGGAGGAAAAUACAUGGACCCAUUAUGAAUUAAUCAACGAUAAUCUGGUCAAAGAGAUACAACAACGAGCUGUGGGAUAUGAUGGAAUUAUGUCAUGGGCCGAAGUAUUCAGUUGUAUACAGGGUAAACACGCUCAGUGAAUCAUUCUGUAUAUUUGAGAUAGAUCUAUUCUUAGGGGUUUCCCAGCCCUUCGUAUUCCAGUAAUCGAUUGGUAUCUUAAAUAUGGCUAUCGGCCAAACGUGCGUUAUAAUAAUACGUAUA